AGUGAACGCUGGCGGCGUGCCUAAUACAUGCAAGUCGAACGAAGUGGCGCACGGGUGAGUAAUAUAUAGUUAAUCUGCCCUACACAGAGGAACAACAGUUGGAAACGGCUGCUAAUACCUCAUAGUGUAGUAUGUGACUAUAUCGUAUCAGCUAGUUGGUAAGGUAAUUGCUUACCAAGGCGAUGACGCGUAACUGGUCUGAGAGGAUGAUCAGUAACAUUGGAACUGAGACACGGUCCAAACUCCUACGGGAGGGAGCAGUAAGGAAUAUGGCGCAAUGGGGGAAACCCUGACGGAGCAACGCCGCGUGGAGGAUGACACUUUUCGGAGAGUAAAAUCCUUUUAUCAGGAAAGCGGUACCUGAAGAAUAAGCACCGGCUAACUCCGUGCCAGCCGCCGCGGUAAUUC
Molecule: ribosomal RNA, 408 nt
Filed under: uncultured bacterium
Lineage: Bacteria
Description: partial 16S ribosomal RNA
Rfam family: Bacterial small subunit ribosomal RNA
Source: RNAcentral